AGCUGACGUCUGACUCUUGCAAUUAAUUCAAAUUGGGCUGAGCCUGGGCUUUGGGGAGGGAUGGCUGGUGGGCGGUGGUGAAAGGCAGAAUGAGCAGUGGUGCACCGAGCUGAGGGUGGCACACGGCUCUGCUCCCUGUUCAAUUCGUGCUAUCAUCACUAAACCCUGUGUACGCAGAGAGUGUAUUUCAUGUUCUCAGGGGCUUUGCAGUCAAUUGAAUGCUUCUAAAGCUCUUCCUCCCUGCUUUCCUUGCUCUGGACGCUGAAGCACGCUCUUCCCUGGGAUCGGGAGCCAGGGACUGUUGGUGCCUGUACCAGAGGCACAGCCCAAGAGG
RNAcentral lists this long non-coding RNA (334 nucleotides) under Cyanistes caeruleus (blue tit). Its description in RNAcentral is "lncRNA (ENSCCEG00000013842.1)". The record is from RNAcentral. Lineage: Eukaryota; Metazoa; Chordata; Aves; Passeriformes; Paridae.